Molecule: ribosomal RNA, 497 nt
Filed under: uncultured bacterium
Lineage: Bacteria
Description: partial 16S ribosomal RNA
Rfam family: Bacterial small subunit ribosomal RNA
Source: RNAcentral
GAUGAACGCUGGCGGCGUGCCUAAUACAUGCCAGUCGAGCGAACGGACGAGAAGCUUGCUUUUCUGAUGUUAGCGGCGGACGGGUGAGUAACACGUGGAUAACCUACCUAUAAGACUGGGAUAACUUCGGGAAACCGGAGCUAAUACCGGAUAAUAUUUUGAACCGCAUGGUUCAAAAGUGAAAGACGGUCUUGCUGUCACUUAUAGAUGGAUCCGCGCUGCAUUAGCUAGUUGGUAAGGUAACGGCUUACCAAGGCAACGAUGCAUAGCCGACCUGAGAGGGUGAUCGGCCACACUAGGACUGAGACACGGUCCAGACUCCUACGGGAGGCAGCAGUAGGGAAUCUUCCGCAAUGGGCGAAAGCCUGACGGAGCAACGCCGCGUGAGUGAUGAAGGUCUUCGGAUCGUAAAACUCUGUUAUUAGGGAAGAACAUAUGUGUAAGUAACUGUGCACAUCUUGACGGUACCUAAUCAGAAAGCCACGGCUAACUACGUG